RNAcentral lists this ribosomal RNA (442 nucleotides) under uncultured bacterium. RNAcentral's name for it is "partial 16S ribosomal RNA". It matches the Rfam family "Bacterial small subunit ribosomal RNA", at positions 338 to 795 of the family's 1533-position model. The record is from RNAcentral.
CCUACGGGAGGCAGCAGUGGGGAAUAUUGGGCAAUGGGCGCAAGCCUGACCCAGCAACGCCGCGUGAAGGAAGAAGGCUUUCGGGUUGUAAACUUCUUUUGUCAGGGACGAGCAGAUGACGGUACCUGAGGAAUAAGCCACGGCUAACUACGUGCCAGCAGCCGCGGUAAUACGUAGGUGGCAAGCGUUGUUCGGAUUUACUGGGGGUAAAGGGCGUGUAGCCGGGCUGAUAAGUCAGAUGUGAAAUCCGGGGGCUCAAACCCCGAACUGCAUUUUAAACUGUUGGUCUUGAGUAUCGGAGAGGAUGGCGGAAUUCCUAGUGUAGCGGUGGAAUGCGUAGAUAUUAGGAGGAACACCAGUGGCGAAGGCGGCCUGCUGGACGACAACUGACGGUGAGGCGCGAAAGCGUGGGGAGCAAACAGGAUUAGAUACCCGAGUAGUC